GCCUGGGUGGCUCAGUCGGUUGAGCAUCCGACUUCAGCUCAGGUCACGAUCUCACAGUUUGUGAGUUCGAGCCCCACAUCAGGCU
RNAcentral lists this transfer RNA (85 nucleotides) under Felis catus (domestic cat). It matches the Rfam family "tRNA". From Rfam's summary of the family: Transfer RNA (tRNA) molecules are approximately 80 nucleotides in length. The record is from Rfam by way of RNAcentral. Lineage: Eukaryota; Metazoa; Chordata; Mammalia; Carnivora; Felidae.